UCCGGCCAUAUCACGUUGAAACACCGGUUCCCAUUAGGUCAUCGAAGUUAUGUAUCAUCGAGCCUGGUCGGUAAGUAGAUGCGUGAGCGCUUGGGAACACCAAGUGCUGUAA
This is a non-coding RNA of Acanthosepion pharaonis, 112 nucleotides long. NCBI's taxonomy places the organism in Eukaryota, Metazoa, Mollusca, Cephalopoda, Sepiida, Sepiidae. The record is from the annotation of a GenBank genome assembly.